Molecule: unclassified non-coding RNA, 472 nt
Filed under: Hevea brasiliensis (rubber tree)
Lineage: Eukaryota; Viridiplantae; Streptophyta; Magnoliopsida; Malpighiales; Euphorbiaceae
Source: RNAcentral
UUCAAAGUCGAUCACAACAAAAUACUGAAAUUCUUGAUAUUGCACUUCAUGAGGGUGAGCUUGGGAAAACAUCUUGAAAGGCAGAUAUUGAAUUGAGUUUUCAACUGGAUAAUUGUAUUCCAAAUUCAUUGGAUAGAACGGGUUCUCAAUCGGAUAUAGCUGGUUCUGGCGCAGCAUUUGAAUAUCAAUGUAGUUCGGCAUGGUAAAAAAUUCUUGCUGGUAGAGGGACCUAUUAUAACCUUGAUUUGGAGAAGCCAAGGCUCCCCUGUUAAAUGAACUAUUUGCUUCCACAAUAUUACUCUGAUGAAAGUUUAGCUCAUCCCCGGGUUUAGGAAAACCCUUAACGGCAUUCCCACUUUCUUGAGAGACAUGAUGAGAAGCCUUAAUCUUGAGGCACCCUAGGGAUGCCUCAUGGGUUUUUUGCAUUGUUCCUUUUUCCUCCUCGUCAAUCAUGAUCAGAAUCCGGCGAGCG